AUUAGUAUUUUUUGAUGGCAAGAAGAACUAUUGCAUGACUAAUGGGUAAUAAGAGUUAGUUCAAAAUUUUGUGAUGAUUUUCAAACCAUUUCGUUAAGUGACACAUUACUUACGUCAAAUUUAAGUGGUAACAACUACACUGGUGGUCAUGUUGAUCAAGGCACUAAUUAGUCAUAUAAUGAGCUUGGAACAAUAUAUAAGGUAUUAUAUUAUUUUUCCACCAUGUGUUAUUUUAAGU
Molecule: long non-coding RNA, 238 nt
Filed under: Spirodela polyrhiza (greater duckweed)
Lineage: Eukaryota; Viridiplantae; Streptophyta; Magnoliopsida; Alismatales; Araceae
Description: long non-coding RNA (SPOL_LNC001263)
Source: RNAcentral